GGGCAGCGCGACAUGGAUGUCGCGCUAGCCGCCGUUCGGCCAGGGAUGGCCGGUCGGCGGCGUGCCC
Pseudomonas sp. Bc-h is the source of this 67-nucleotide non-coding RNA. The record is from Rfam. NCBI's taxonomy places the organism in Bacteria, Pseudomonadati, Pseudomonadota, Gammaproteobacteria, Pseudomonadales, Pseudomonadaceae.